Molecule: ribosomal RNA, 3095 nt
Filed under: Pleurotus pulmonarius
Lineage: Eukaryota; Fungi; Basidiomycota; Agaricomycetes; Agaricales; Pleurotaceae
Description: bacterial LSU rRNA
Rfam family: Bacterial large subunit ribosomal RNA
Source: RNAcentral
CAAAGGGGUUAUUAAGGAUAGCACAAGCAAAUUUAUAAAAAAGGAGGUGUCAACCAAAUGCUUUCAUAAUAUUAAAUUAUCUAUCGUGAAAGCGAUCCUAAGGGAAACCUUUUAAUUAAUACUUCCUGAAGUAAAACAUUUUAGUAAGGAAAGGAAAGGAAAUCAACCGAGACUCCGAAAGUAAUGGUGAGUGAAAUCGGAUUAGCCUAAGAUUAUCUUUUAUAAAUUGAAAAAAUUAACUCUUUUUUAUAAUAUUCUUAAUUAAAUUUAUACCAAUAAACUUAAAUAAGUAAUAUGAAAUCAAGAACUUAAUUUACAAAUAAUUUUAUUUCAAAUAAAAAAAAUUUGUUCAAAGAAGGUUAAAAACAAUAAGUCCUGUAGAUUUAUAAAAAAAUAAUAUAAUAAGUACGAUGAGAGUUAACUUGUCGGAAUAUAGGGGAACCAUCCUCUAAGGCUAAGUAUUAUAAAUUUAGCGAUAGUGAAAAAGUACUGUAAAGGAAAAGUUUGAAAAGCAAUGGUUUAAAGAAACAUAAGAGUAAUUAUUAAAAUUUAAAUAAUAUCUAAAAAAUAUUAAAAUUUAAUAAAUGCCGGUGAAAAAGAUCUUGAAUUAGUAACUCUAUAAGCAGUCGAAAUUUAAAACAAAAAAUGACGGCGUACCUUUUGCAUAAUGGGUCAGCAAGUUAAUAGGAGUAGCAAGGUUAAAAGCCCUAGCGAAAGCGACUGGACUAUACUUAUAAAAAAUCUCAAAUUUUUUCAUAAACAAAUAUAGUGAUGGAUAAGUUACUUCUAUUAGACCCGAAGCCAGGUGAUCUUACUAAGACCAGAUUAUAAUGGAUCGAACGGGUGAAUGUUGCAUAAUUCUCCGAUGAGUUUUAGUAAGCGGUGAAAUGCCAAUCUGACCUGGUGCUAUCUGGUUUUCUACCGAAACAUAUUUAAGUAUGACAUCUACACAAAAUUUAUGGAGGUACAGCAAGGCAAUUCCCAACAAGUAUAAGAGAAAUUAAUUAAAAAUAAUUUCGUCUUUUAGGCGUUUAGGUUGUGGGGACCUCGAAAAUCUUACCUAUGGAAGCGAAUCUCGGAAGUACAUAAAUUGAUGGUAGAUAUUCAGACUAUCCAUGCUAAGUUGGAUAGUCAAGACGGAAACAGCCGAGAACAUUGAUCAAGGUCCCAAAUGAUUAUUAAGUGAAAUUAAGGAUGUUUAAAAUCGGAUACAGCUGUGAAGUGAGCUUGGAAGUAGCUUCUUAUAAUGAUCGUAUGUAACAACGCAUCAGCAGUCUAGAUUGUAGCGCCGAAAAUUUAACGGGUCUUAAAUAAUCAACCGAUAUCGUGUUGGUUUUAAAUAAUAAUAAAAAUAAAAAAUAAAAAUUAAUAAAUAAAUAAAUAAAAUAAAAAGUUUUUCUUUUUUAAAUUCUUAUUUUAAACCUAGGUAGUAGAACAUUCAGUCAAACUAUUUAUAAAACAGUGUUUCAUUGUUUUUAGGUAACUGAAGAGAGAAUGCUGACAUGAGUAACGUAAAAAGAAGUUAUAAUACUUCUCGCCGAAUACGAAAGGGUUGUAAGUGAAAGGUUAAUCCGCCUUACGUGAAUGCGGCCUCUAAGGACUAGAACGAAAGUUUUGGCUGAUGAGUAUAUAAUAGAAAAUCCAUUUUUUGGAUCAGGAAAUUAAUAUGAGAUAAAAUUUUAUUUUAUCUGUAAGAACUUAAUUUUAUUUUUAAUAGGUCUAAAUUUUACAAAUUUUAUAGUAACCUUUAUUCUUUUUAUUUUUAAAUAAAAAAAUAGAAAAAUAAAAUUAAGACUACCGUACCCUAAACCGACACAGGUUCGUAGGUAGAGAAUACUAAGGCGUAGAGCUAAAAGUUGUUAAGGAACUCGGCAAAUUAACCUCAUAAGUUUGACAACAAGAGGUACCGCAUAUUAUUAAAAAUAAAUCUUAAAUAGUAAAAUAUCUAAUAUUUAUUCUUUUUAUAAGGCGGUGACACAUAAUCGGAGGCCCCGACUGUUUACUAAAAACACAGAUCACAGCAAUCAUGUAAAUGAUAGUAUUGUGGUCGAAAUUUGCCCGAUGCCAUUAAUAUAAGAGAGGUUAUAGUUUCUGUGACUAAUCGAAAGUCUGGUUAAUAGCGGUCUUAACUAUGAGGAUCCUAAGGUAGCAAAAUAAAUUGGCCAUUAAAUGUGGUCCGGUAUCAAUAAUGUAACGAGGGCCUCACUGUCUCUACAACUUGCUCAGUGAAAUUGAAUUACCCGUGCAGAUGCGGGUUACCUCCAGGGGGACGGGAAGACCCUAUGCAGCUUUACUGUAGUUAGUUAUCAUAUUAAUCUACAACAACCUUUGUUACUAGAGAAUAGGUAAGUCGAUAGACUAUUUGUGGAAACCUUAAAACUUAGGUUGGGUUAAUGUUUACCUUUAUAUAAAAUAAAAACUUAAAAGGGAGAGGUUACUAAUUGGCAGUUUGACUGGGGCGGUCGUCUUUAAUAGAGUAGCAAAGUACAUCCAAAUAUUUAAAUUAUUAUAAUGUUUUAGUUUAAAUUUAGUUUUCUGGAUUUAAAUUAUUUUACAUUUCAAACAAAUAAAAUAUAAAAUUAUAUUAUAUUUUUUAUAUUAAUAUCUUUCAUAUACUUUUGUAUGUUGUAAAGAAAUACACAAAAAAUUAAAAAAGGUAUAGCUAGAAAUUGAAUGGAGAUCAAUCAACCAGUGAAAGGUUGUGCAGGGCUCAAUGGCGGUAAGCAUGCUUAACUGAAAGACCUAAAAGUCGCACAGAUACGUAAGUAGGGCAUAGUGACCCCUCGCUAUAAUAUGGGAUAGACGGGGAUCAAUUGAUAAAAGUUACGCUAGGGAUAACAGGCUGAUAGCCGACGAGAGUACACAUUGUCUCGGCUGAUUGGCACCUUACAGGUUAAAAAGAGUUUAAAAAUUUAGUGUUAAAUACUAGUCUUAAUACAGAAAUAAUUUCACCAACAAUAGAUUCACCAACGAAUACGAGAGUUGGAACUAUUACACCUUUUUCUCUUACUGAAGCUGACAACCUAAAAUUGGAAGAAAUGAAUUUAGGUCGAGAGAUGAUUGGGGAGACUAGUAACCCUUCUAAUUUAAAGAUA